This is a long non-coding RNA of Anopheles arabiensis, 3146 nucleotides long. RefSeq lists it as uncharacterized. NCBI's taxonomy places the organism in Eukaryota, Metazoa, Arthropoda, Insecta, Diptera, Culicidae. The record is from RefSeq and is a predicted model, not a curated record. The transcript is spliced from 3 exons.
GGACGUCCAAGCGUCCUGGAGGGGACUGUGGGAUGAUCUUGAGCCCGGAACGAGACUGGGAAUCUCGGAGUACGGGCUUGAGAAAGGUUUGACCACAAAUGUCCCAGAGAUAGUUAGACCGGGUAUCGGUAUUGGAUGUUUGGGACCAGUGCUUUGUUCCUGGAGCGUAACACGAGUAGGAAGGGGGCUGCCCAAGAGCCCCAGAGAAUGCUGUGAGGUGGGCAUCGGUACUGGUAGCUUGGAACCGGUACUAUUGGCCCAAUCACAAGCGCUCAACUGUGCUGGAGGACGUCCAAGCGUCCUGGAGGGGACUGUGGGAUGAUCUUGAGCCCGGAACGAGACUGGGAAUCUCGGAGUACGGGCUUGAGAAAGGUUUGAUCACAAAUGUCCCAGAGAUAGUUAGACCGGGUAUCGGUAUUGGAUGUUUGGGACCAGUGCUUUGUUCCUGGAUCGUAACACGAGUAGGAAGGGGGCUGCCCAAGAGCCCCAGAGAAUGCUGUGAGGUGGGCAUCGGUACUGGUAGCUUGGAACCGGUACUAUUGGCCCAAUCACAAGCGCUCAACUGUGGUGGAGGACGUCCAAGCGUUCUGGAGGGGACUGUGGGAUGAUCUUGAGCCCGGAACGAGACUGGGAAUCUCGGAGUACGGGCUUGAGAAAGGUUUGAUCACAAAUGUCCCAGAGAUAGUUAGACUGGGUAUCGGUAUUGGAUGUUUGGGACCAGUGCUUUGUUCCUGGAUCGUAACACGAGUAGGAAGGGGGCUGCCCAAGAGCCCCAGAGAAUGCUGUGAGGUGGGCAUCGGUACUGGUAGCUUGGAACCGGUACUAUUGGCCCAAUCACAAGCGCUCAACUGUGGUGUGGGACGUCCAAGCGUUCUGGAGGGGACUGUGGGAUGAUCUUGAGCCCGGAACGAGACUGGGAAUCUCGGAGUACGGGCUUGAGAAAGGUUUGAUCACAAAUGUCCCAGAGAUAGUUAGACCGGGUAUCGGUAUUGGAUGUUUGGGACCAGUGCUUUGUUCCUGGAUCGUAACACGAGUAGGAAGGGGGCUGCCCAAGAGCCCCAGAGAAUGCUGUGAGGUGGGCAUCGGUACUGGUAGCUUGGAACCGGUACUAUUGGCCCAAUCACAAGCGCUCAACUGUGAUGGGGGACGUCCAAGCGUACUGGAGGGGACUGUGGGAUGAUCUUGAGCCCGGAACGAGACUGGGAAUCUCGGAGUUCGGGCUUGAGAAUGCUACCCUAAGGCCCUUGAGUUUGCUCCUGAAGUGGGCAUCGGUACUGGUGGCUUGGAUCUGGUACUAUUGGCCCAAUCAGGAGGAUUUAGUAAGGAGAGAUUUCCAAGCGUCUAAAAGGGGGACAGUGUUUUUGUGUUGCAGUGCUUGUUUUCGUUACUGGUACUGUGGACACGGAAACUGUAUUCCAGUAACCGGGAAAAAGGUUGGUGUUUACCUUAUACCUGGAGUUAUACUCAGUUUGAGUUCAAAAAUAUAACACAAUUAUAAAAAAUACAAAAAAAAGAAGAGAUGGUAGGAGUAGAGGACGAAAAGAAAAAUAAUUAAUUAGGUUUCACAUGUGAGUUAAUGUUUGACGCAGAAAGUACAAAUACAAUGUAAAAGAUAGUUAUAAUAUAUUUUACAAAUCAUUCCGUUGCAAAUUCACAUCAAUGUUAACAAAUAUAAAAAUCAUCAAAUGACGAUGUAUUAGAUGAUUGGCGGUGUUCUCGUAAAUCCAGCGUUUGCCUAUUCCGUUGUUCUCGUAAAUUUAAAUUCAUCGCAAGUUGAUUAUGAUUUAGGAGUAUUUUCCCAUCAGACAUUAAGUGCCAUCAAGUACCAGAUUAUACCUCAUUUAUUUUUUACAAAAGUUCUAGCAUACAUCAAAACCAACACAUAACUAAGCGAAUAUGGAAGUAAGUUGCACGAGCCACAUGAACUGUUGUUCAUAAUAGAUAGAGAUAGAGUUUCAAAAAUCAAUUAAAGUAUAGGGAAAAUAGUAAUGUGAUAAUGAAAGCAAUUCGGUUCAAACAAGAAGUUUGUAAAUCAAUAUUGAAGAUUAGAAAAUAAUUAAGUAUCAAAGAUCAUGUUGCCGGUGAUACAGUUUGCAGCAGAAAGGCCUGAUAGAAACUUGUUGAAAUAUAACAACCGUACACAUUUUGAGCAGAGAAAAUCCAUCAUCGAUCUCCCGGAUUUGUGCUAGGUUUCCCAACUGAUUUCUCUAUAGAUUCUGACCAUGUUUUUAAGUGAAACAUAACAUUAGAGUCUUAUAAAAUAGAGACAUAUAUAAUGGGCCGGUCCCGUGAACCAGUCGUCAACUCGUACGUUUCAAUGGUAUGCUUGUGAUGGGUUCAAGCCUAGAAUGGACCCCGGUUCCCCCGGUGGCAACGACCAACUAUUCGACUAAGUGGUACCUGUAUAAACCUUGAAAACCUAUAUAAUCUAGCGUGUCCGCAUAAAACGCUACGCCAAAUGGAGGAAGAAGAAGAACAAUAGAGCAAAGAAACAGAGCAUGAAUGUCAACUACAAUCGCGCCAACAUGGGUGCUGGUGGAUAUGGUGCAUCGAAUGUUAUGAAUGAAAUGAUCGAAAGUCGUUGGACAGUUGCGAAGCUGCGAUGAACUCGAGUGAUUUUGUAGCAGAAUAACAAGCCAAUUGGAUUCGAAAACGAAAUCCAGACUUUGCUUUAUAAACGAUGACGAAGUAGUAAUACAUGAACAUACACACAUCAACAUCACCCAGCAUCGUAUUGUAAGCGGAAAGGGGAAUGAUGAUGGUUUUUUCGAAACAGCAAACUAAUGCUCACAUCACAUCCAUUUAAAGAAUGACAACAUUGGGUACCCAACAUGGUUGUAUGACAGUUUUGGAUGAACUUUGUUCGUUGGACUUGUUCACUAUAAGACCAACUGACUGACUGAAAUUUCUGCUGUGCCCCAUGAGCUCAAGAUGGAGUAAUACCCUCUAGCGGAGCCUUCCGCCGGCAUAUUAUUCUCAACGGCCACGAAGACUGGCCACGCAGUAUUGCUAUCACCGGCUAUGAUCGAUGCCUAAUAACUUCAACAAUCUUUGGUCAACAUGUUGGACUUCGGGAAACAAAUGUUGAAAUAGUUGCGCUUUGAGUUUAGAAUUCGUCAAAAAAGAUUCCUUUGAUUAUCAAAAAA